UACGUAGGGGGCGAGCGUUGUCCGGAGUUACUGGGCGUAAAGCGCACGCAGGCGGUCGUGCAAGUUUGGGGUUACAGCUCCCGGCUCAACUGGGAGAGCGCCUUGAAGACUGCAGGACUUGAGGACCAGAGAGGGACACAGAAUUCCGGGUGUAGUGGUGAAAUGCGUAGAUAUCCGGAGGAAUACCAAAGGCGAAGGCAGUGUCCUGGCUGGUGACUGACGCUGAGGUGCGAAAGCUAGGGGAGCGAACGGG
RNAcentral lists this ribosomal RNA (253 nucleotides) under uncultured Ktedonobacter sp. RNAcentral describes it as "partial 16S ribosomal RNA". It matches the Rfam family "Bacterial small subunit ribosomal RNA", at positions 524 to 776 of the family's 1533-position model. The record is from RNAcentral. Lineage: Bacteria; Bacillati; Chloroflexota; Ktedonobacteria; Ktedonobacterales; Ktedonobacteraceae.